UACAGGGGGGGCAAGCGUUGUUCGGAAUUACUGGGCGUAAAGGGCCAGUAGGCGGCCAACUAAGUCCGACGUGAAAUCCCCAGGCUUAACCUGGGAACUGCGUCGGAUACUGGAUGGCUUGAAUUCGGGAGAGGGAUGUAGAAUUCCAGGUGUAGCGGUGAAAUGCGUAGAUAUCUGGAGGAAUACCGGUGGCGAAGGCGGCAUCCUGGACCAUUACUGACGCUGAGGCGCGAAAGCUAGGGGAGCAAACGGG
Molecule: ribosomal RNA, 253 nt
Filed under: uncultured bacterium
Lineage: Bacteria
Description: partial 16S ribosomal RNA
Rfam family: Bacterial small subunit ribosomal RNA
Source: RNAcentral